UUUAUGGAGAGUUUGAUCCUGGCUCAGGAUGAACGCUGGCGGCGUGCCUAAUACAUGCAAGUCGAGCGAACGGACGAGAAGCUUGCUUCUCUGAUGUUAGCGGCGGACGGGUGAGUAACACGUGGAUAACCUACCUAUAAGACUGGGAUAACUUCGGGAAACCGGAGCUAAUACCGGAUAAUAUUUUGAACCGCAUGGUUCAAAAGUGAAAGACGGUCUUGCUGUCACUUAUAGAUGGAUCCGCGCUGCAUUAGCUAGUUGGUAAGGUAACGGCUUACCAAGGCAACGAUGCAUAGCCGACCUGAGAGGGUGAUCGGCCACACUGGAACUGAGACACGGUCCAGACUCCUACGGGAGGCAGCAGUAGGGAAUCUUCCGCAAUGGGCGAAAGCCUGACGGAGCAACGCCGCGUGAGUGAUGAAGGUCUUCGGAUCGUAAAACUCUGUUAUUAGGGAAGAAUAUAUGUGUAAGUAACUGUGCACAUCUUGACGGUACCUAAUCAGAAAGCCACGGCUAACUACGUGCCAGCAGCCGCGGUAAUACGUAGGUGGCAAGCGUUAUCCGGAAUUAUUGGGCGUAAAGCGCGCGUAGGCGGUUUUUUAAGUCUGAUGUGAAAGCCCACGGCUCAACCGUGGAGGGUCAUUGGAAACUGGAAAACUUGAGUGCAGAAGAGGAAAGUGGAAUUCCAUGUGUAGCGGUGAAAUGCGCAGAGAUAUGGAGGAACACCAGUGGCGAAGGCGACUUUCUGGUCUGUAACUGACGCUGAUGUGCGAAAGCGUGGGGAUCAAACAGGAUUAGAUACCCUGGUAGUCCACGCCGUAAACGAUGAGUGCUAAGUGUUAGGGGGUUUCCGCCCUUAGUGCUGCAGCUAACGCAUUAAGCACUCCGCCUGGGGAGUACGACCGCAAGGUUGAAACUCAAAGGAAUUGACGGGGACCCGCACAAGCGGUGGAGCAUGUGGUUUAAUUCGAAGCAACGCGAAGAACCUUACCAAAUCUUGACAUCCUUUGACAACUCUAGAGAUAGAGCCUUCCUCUUCGGGGGACAAAGUGACAGGUGGUGCAUGGUUGUCGUCAGCUCGUGUCGUGAGAUGUUGGGUUAAGUCCCGCAACGAGCGCAACCCUUAAGCUUAGUUGCCAUCAUUAAGUUGGGCACUCUAAGUUGACUGCCGGUGACAAACCGGAGGAAGGUGGGGAUGACGUCAAAUCAUCAUGCCCCUUAUGAUUUGGGCUACACACGUGCUACAAUGGACAAUACAAAGGGCAGCGAAACCGCGAGGUCAAGCAAAUCCCAUAAAGUUGUUCUCAGUUCGGAUUGUAGUCUGCAACUCGACUACAUGAAGCUGGAAUCGCUAGUAAUCGUAGAUCAGCAUGCUACGGUGAAUACGUUCCCGGGUCUUGUACACACCGCCCGUCACACCACGAGAGUUUGUAACACCCGAAGCCGGUGGAGUAACCUUUUAGGAGCUAGCCGUCGAAGGUGGGACAAAUGAUUGGGGUGAAGUCGUAACAAGGUAGCCGUAUCGGAAGGUGCGGCUGGAUCACCUCCUUUCU
Molecule: ribosomal RNA, 1553 nt
Filed under: Staphylococcus aureus
Lineage: Bacteria; Bacillati; Bacillota; Bacilli; Caryophanales; Staphylococcaceae
Description: 16S ribosomal RNA
Rfam family: Bacterial small subunit ribosomal RNA
Source: RNAcentral